This 394-nucleotide ribosomal RNA is filed under the name uncultured bacterium. RNAcentral's name for it is "partial 16S ribosomal RNA". It matches the Rfam family "Bacterial small subunit ribosomal RNA", at positions 523 to 918 of the family's 1533-position model. The record is from RNAcentral.
AUACGGAGGAUGCAAGCGUUAUCCGGAUUUAUUGGGUUUAAAGGGUGCGUAGGCGGGAAGUCAAGUCUGUGGUGAAAAGUCCGGGCCUAACCUGGAUCGUGCCAUGGAAACUGUCUUUCUUGAAUAGUGGCGCCGUUGGCGGAAUGUGCAGUGUAGCGGUGAAAUGCUUAGAUAUUACACAGAACACCGAUUGCGAAAGCAGCUGACGAACCACCGAUUGACGCUGAUGCACGAAAGUUCGGGUAUCGAACAGGAUUAGAUACCCUGGUAGUCCGCACAGUAAACGAUGACAACUAGCUGUUGGCGAUAUACUGUUCAGUAGCGUAGCGAAAGCGUUAAGUUGUCCACCUGGGGAGUACGACCGCAAGGUUGAAACUCAAAGGAAUUGACGGGG